UUGCGCUGCUAAAGCCGCCUGUGCUUUAGAACAGUUAACACAGGGGGGUAGAGGAUGCCUCUCACUCAAACCUGGGGCAGGGCUGAUAAACUCUCUGCUUUCGGAUCCUGUCGUGAGAAACAGUU
Molecule: small nucleolar RNA, 125 nt
Filed under: Pogona vitticeps (central bearded dragon)
Lineage: Eukaryota; Metazoa; Chordata; Lepidosauria; Squamata; Agamidae
Description: Small nucleolar RNA SNORA26 (ENSPVIG00000001269.1)
Rfam family: Small nucleolar RNA SNORA26
About the family: The snoRNA HBI-6 belong to the H/ACA family of snoRNAs, guiding the pseudouridylation of position U4522 if the 28S rRNA. HBI-6 is the human orthologue of mouse MBI-6 snoRNA.
Source: Rfam by way of RNAcentral